GGUGACGGUGCAACUCUCUCUCUUAUUUUCAUUUUUAUUUUUUUUCACAACUCGUCGUAGGUCAUAUUUCCCGCCAAAUACAAUUACAAACCCCCUUUUUCUUUUUUUUCUUUUUUUUAAUGUCUAAUUCUUUGAUUUUUACCAUUUUUCUCAAGCCCCUAUUCAGUACUUCCCAUUUCAAAUUGUUAUCAACCCUGCUUCCAAAAGGCUGUCAAUUUUCACCCUACCUCCUCCAGGUACAUUAGCUAUUCCUUACCUAUUCUGGGUAUAUAUACCUUUCAAUUCGUCUGUGGUUAAAUUUUCUGGGUAAUUUGUCAUUUUUCCUUUUCCUUCACUUGGUCUGUUUUUAUGAUGAGUUUUUGUUUUCUUUUUAUUUCCCUAUUGUUUACUCGUUAUGGUAUAAACACAAAAAAUGCUGUAGUGUUGAAUUUGGAAUUCUUUGAAAAGUUAAAAAACUGGAUGCAAAUUGAAACUUCAUUAAUUUUUUUGGGUGAGGCUGCAUUAGAAUGAGCAGAGUCAGUCAACAAGAAAGUGGUCCACACUCCAGAGUCCGGACAAUUGCACAGCUGGGAGCCUGGACCUGUAGCUUAUUUUAUCACAUUAUAAAUAAGUUUCUUUAGUAAAAUUCUUAAUUUUUUCCAGUUAUAUCUUUUUCUUGGAUGGUAAAUUUGGUAGUGGUGUCAAGAUCUGUAAAAUCUGCCUGGUGUUUACCGCUCUAAAGACAACCACUAAUUCUGAGGAUAAUACUUCGGCUUUCU
This 758-nucleotide long non-coding RNA is filed under the name Olea europaea subsp. europaea. Lineage: Eukaryota; Viridiplantae; Streptophyta; Magnoliopsida; Lamiales; Oleaceae. The record is from RNAcentral.